RNAcentral lists this ribosomal RNA (491 nucleotides) under uncultured bacterium. Its description in RNAcentral is "partial 16S ribosomal RNA". It matches the Rfam family "Bacterial small subunit ribosomal RNA", at positions 29 to 507 of the family's 1533-position model. The record is from RNAcentral.
GUGAACGCUGGCGGUAGGCCUAACAUAUGCAAGUCGAACGGCAGCACAGUAAGAGCUUGCUCUUACGGGUGGCGAGUGGCGGACGGGUGAGGAAUACAUCGGAAUCUACUUUUUCGUGGGGGAUAACGUAGGGAAACUUACGCUAAUACCGCAUACGACCUACGGGUGAAAGCAGGGGAUCUUCGGACCUUGCGCGAUUGAAUGAGCCGAUGUCGGAUUAGCUAGUUGGCGGGGUAAAGGCCCACCAAGGCGACGAUCCGUAGCUGGUCUGAGAGGAUGAUCAGCCACACUGGAACUGAGACACGGUCCAGACUCCUACGGGAGGCAGCAGUGGGGAAUAUUGGACAAAGGGCGCAAGCCUGAUCCAGCCAUACCGCGUGGGUGAAGAAGGCCUUCGGGUUGUAAAGCCCUUUUGUUGGGAAAGAAAAGCAGCAGGUUAAUACCCCGCUGUUCUGACGGUACCCAAAGAAUAAGCACCGGCUAACUUCGUG